ACGGGAGGCAGCAGUGAGGAAUAUUGGUCAAUGGAGGCAACUCUGAACCAGCCAUCUCGCGUGAAGGAAUACGGCCCUAUGGGUCUUAAACUUCUUUUAUAGGGGGAUAAAGUGAGGCAUGUAUGGCUUUUUGCAGGUACCCUAUGAAUAAGCAUCGGCUAACUCCGUGCCAGCAGCCGCGGUAAUACGGAGGAUGCGAGCGUUAUCCGGAUUUAUUGGGUUUAAAGGGUGCGCAGGCGGCACGUUAAGUCAGCGGUGAAAUGCAGGGGCUCAACCCCGGCACUGCCGUUGAAACUGGCGAGCUCGAGUACGGAUGAAGUCGGCGGAAUGUGAUGUGUAGCGGUGAAAUGCUUAGAUAUGUCACAGAACACCGAUUGCGAAGGCAGCUGACUAAUCCGCAACUGACGCUCAGGCACGAAAGCGUGGGGAUCGAACAGGAUUAGAUACCCUGGUA
This 454-nucleotide ribosomal RNA is filed under the name uncultured Porphyromonas sp. RNAcentral describes it as "partial 16S ribosomal RNA". It matches the Rfam family "Bacterial small subunit ribosomal RNA", at positions 341 to 792 of the family's 1533-position model. The record is from RNAcentral. Lineage: Bacteria; Pseudomonadati; Bacteroidota; Bacteroidia; Bacteroidales; Porphyromonadaceae.